RNAcentral lists this ribosomal RNA (374 nucleotides) under uncultured organism. Its description in RNAcentral is "partial 16S ribosomal RNA". It matches the Rfam family "Bacterial small subunit ribosomal RNA", at positions 527 to 896 of the family's 1533-position model. The record is from RNAcentral.
GUAGGUGGCAAGCGUUGUCCGGAAUUAUUGGGCGUAAAGCGCGCGCAGGCGGUUCUUUAAGUCUGAUGUGAAAGCCCACGGCUCAACCGUGGAGGGUCAUUGGAAACUGGAGAACUUGAGUACAGAAGAGGAAAGCGGAAUUCCACGUGUAGCGGUGAAAUGCGUAGAGAUGUGGAGGAUCACCAGUGGCGAAGGCGGCUUUCUGGUCUGUAACUGACGCUGAGGCGCGAAAGCGUGGGGAGCAAACAGGAUUAGAUACCCUGGUAGUCCACGCCGUAAACGAUGAGUGCUAAGUGUUAGGGGGGUUUUCCGCCCCCCUUAGUGCUGCAGCUAACGCAUUAAGCACUCCGCCUGGGAGUACGGCCGCAAGGCUG